This 253-nucleotide ribosomal RNA is filed under the name uncultured bacterium. RNAcentral describes it as "partial 16S ribosomal RNA". It matches the Rfam family "Bacterial small subunit ribosomal RNA", at positions 524 to 776 of the family's 1533-position model. The record is from RNAcentral.
UACAGAGGGGGCAAGCGUUAUUCGGAAUUAUUGGGCGUAAAGGGCGCGUAGGCGGCAUUGCAAGUCGGAUGUGAAAUCCCUCGGCUUAACCAAGGAAGUGCAUCCGAAACUGCAGUGCUUGAGUACUUAAGAGGAUCGCGGAAUUCCCGGUGUAGAGGUGAAAUUCGUAGAUAUCGGGAGGAACACCAGUGGCGAAGGCGGCGAUCUGGGAAGAUACUGACGCUGAGGUGCGAAAGCGUGGGGAGCAAACAGG